AUUGAACGCUGGCGGCAGGCCUAACACAUGCAAGUCGAGCGGAUGAAGGGAGCUUGCUCCUGGAUUCAGCGGCGGACGGGUGAGUAAUGCCUAGGAAUCUGCCUGGUAGUGGGGGAUAACGUCCGGAAACGGGCGCUAAUACCGCAUACGUCCUGAGGGAGAAAGUGGGGGAUCUUCGGACCUCACGCUAUCAGAUGAGCCUAGGUCGGAUUAGCUAGUUGGUGGGGUAAAGGCCUACCAAGGCGACGAUCCGUAACUGGUCUGAGAGGAUGAUCAGUCACACUGGAACUGAGACACGGUCCAGACUCCUACGGGAGGCAGCAGUGGGGAAUAUUGGACAAUGGGCGAAAGCCUGAUCCAGCCAUGCCGCGUGUGUGAAGAAGGUCUUCGGAUUGUAAAGCACUUUAAGUUGGGAGGAAGGGCAGUAAGUAAAUACCUUGCUGUUUUGACGUUACCAACAGAAUAAGCACCGGCUAACUUCGUGC
This 485-nucleotide ribosomal RNA is filed under the name uncultured bacterium. RNAcentral's name for it is "partial 16S ribosomal RNA". It matches the Rfam family "Bacterial small subunit ribosomal RNA", at positions 30 to 508 of the family's 1533-position model. The record is from RNAcentral.